AGGCCGAAAGGCGUAGUCGAUGGGAAACAGGUUAAUAUUCCUGUACUUGGUGUUACUGCGAAGGGGGGACGGAGAAGGCUAUGUUAGCCGGGCGACGGUUGUCCCGGUUUAAGCAUGUAGGCUGGUUGUCCAGGCAAAUCCGGAUAAUCAAGGCUGAGGUGUGAUGACGAGGCACUACGGUGCUGAAGUAACAAAUGCCCUGCUUCCAGGAAAAGCCUCUAAGCAUCAGGUAACAUUAAAUCGUACCCCAAA
Molecule: ribosomal RNA, 252 nt
Filed under: Klebsiella pneumoniae
Lineage: Bacteria; Pseudomonadati; Pseudomonadota; Gammaproteobacteria; Enterobacterales; Enterobacteriaceae
Also listed under: 1 other name
Description: partial 23S ribosomal RNA
Rfam family: Bacterial large subunit ribosomal RNA
Source: RNAcentral